UACGAAGGGGGGCUAGCGUUGUUCGGAAUUACUGGGCGUAAAGCGCGCGCAGGCGGUUUCUCAAGUCAGUGGUGAAAGCCCGGAGCUCAACUCCGGAACUGCCAUUGAAACUGUGAAACUUGAGGACGAGAGAGGUGAGUGGAAUUCCCAGUGUAGAGGUGAAAUUCGUAGAUAUUGGGAAGAACACCGGUGGCGAAGGCGGCUCACUGGCUGUUCUGACGCUCGGCGCGAACG
RNAcentral lists this ribosomal RNA (234 nucleotides) under uncultured bacterium. RNAcentral's name for it is "partial 16S ribosomal RNA". It matches the Rfam family "Bacterial small subunit ribosomal RNA", at positions 524 to 759 of the family's 1533-position model. The record is from RNAcentral.